Molecule: long non-coding RNA, 285 nt
Organism: Eucalyptus grandis
Lineage: Eukaryota; Viridiplantae; Streptophyta; Magnoliopsida; Myrtales; Myrtaceae
Exons: 3
Source: RefSeq, a predicted model, not a curated record
CGGCUCCGGAGAGACGAUGGUGAGCAAGUUCCUCUGCGACUUCCGGUGGUUCCUCCUCCUCGCCGCGGCAGUGGCGUUGAUCCACAUCCAGUUUCAGUUAAAUCUUUCAGUUCAGUUUCUUCCCCAACAUUAUCAUCUUUUUUUGGCUUUAAAGAGAUGCUCCAGCAUCAAGCAAUGUACAUAUGUAUGUAGCAGUCAUGUUGGCUUCCGUGAUCAAUUCUUCUUGCGUUGAUGUGUCUUUUCACGACACAAUUGGAACAUGCUGAUCAACUUGCUGCUGCUAGA